This 255-nucleotide ribosomal RNA is filed under the name uncultured prokaryote. RNAcentral describes it as "partial 16S ribosomal RNA". It matches the Rfam family "Bacterial small subunit ribosomal RNA", at positions 521 to 775 of the family's 1533-position model. The record is from RNAcentral.
UAAUACGUAGGGUGCGAGCGUUGUCCGGAAUUAUUGGGCGUAAAGAGCUCGUAGGCGGGUUGUCGCGUCGGCUGUGAAGAACCGGAGCUCAACUCCGGGCCUGCAGUCGAUACGGGCAGACUUGAGUGUUGCAGGGGAGACUGGAAUUCCUGGUGUAGCGGUGAAAUGCGCAGAUAUCAGGAGGAACACCGGUGGCGAAGGCGGGUCUCUGGGCAACAACUGACGCUGAGGAGCGAAAGCGUGGGGAGCGAACAG